Molecule: transfer RNA, 57 nt
Filed under: Bos taurus (domestic cattle)
Lineage: Eukaryota; Metazoa; Chordata; Mammalia; Artiodactyla; Bovidae
Also listed under: 5 other names
Rfam family: tRNA
About the family: Transfer RNA (tRNA) molecules are approximately 80 nucleotides in length. Their secondary structure includes four short double-helical elements and three loops (D, anti-codon, and T loops).
Source: Rfam by way of RNAcentral
UGGCUCAGACGGUAAAGUGUCUGCCUACAGUGCAGGAGACCCAGGUUCAAUCCCUGG